Molecule: non-coding RNA, 355 nt
Organism: Varanus komodoensis (Komodo dragon)
Lineage: Eukaryota; Metazoa; Chordata; Lepidosauria; Squamata; Varanidae
Product: small Cajal body-specific RNA 2
Source: Ensembl
CUGCGAUAGUGAGUGCAAAGCUUGUGUGGGUUGCGUGGAGUGUGUAACGUGUGUGAAUGGCGUGUAAGGCAUCGAGACGUGUGUGUGAGAGGCGCGCGAGUGGGUCCCUGCGCUGCGACACUUACUUUCUGAUACACUUUGAUCUUAUUUGAUCGGGCCGCGGUGUCGCCGCCAUCCCGGCCUGAGAUGAGAAGAUCUCCGUCCUGUGAAGCCCUUGGGGGCGCUGUACGGUGAAGCAGGUUUACCGAGCAGGCGGCAGUUUAGUCGGAGAUGAUGAGUUGAUCAGAUAGAUGAGGCUGGAGGCUGGGAUUUCCCCUCCUCCUGGCCAGUGUGUAUCGAGGCGAUUCUGAUCCGG